CUAAGCUAUGAGUAUUAUCAAGACUGAGUUGAGGAAUAAGAUGGGUGAUGAUUGGUUGAAUUAUUCCAUGGUGUGCAAUAUUGAGCGAGAAAUAUUUGCAAAGGUUGAUGAUGAUGCUAUUAUAUAUCGCUUUCAAGCCUAUAGAUUUCGCAAAGGAACUUUACCUCCUCGUAGUAGUGUUGGCUCUUCUUCCACCGUUGAUCAAGUUAUGGAAGACACUGAUGAAGCAAACCAUUGAUUUGGUACUCUUUUUACUGCACGUACUGUUUGUAGUUCUUGUCAUUUUUUAUCUAUUUUGUUGUAUCAUUAAGCAUUGAGUUUAAAUUCUAAAUUUUGGGUACAAUUGAGCCAUAUUUGAGGUAUUCUUUUGA
Non-coding RNA from Aegilops tauschii subsp. strangulata, 371 nucleotides. NCBI's taxonomy places the organism in Eukaryota, Viridiplantae, Streptophyta, Magnoliopsida, Poales, Poaceae. The record is from RefSeq and is a predicted model, not a curated record.